Gossypium hirsutum (cotton) is the source of this 140-nucleotide non-coding RNA. Lineage: Eukaryota; Viridiplantae; Streptophyta; Magnoliopsida; Malvales; Malvaceae. The record is from Rfam.
UGUUGAAAUUUUCAUCCAUUUCUAUUGUUAAAAAUUAGAAUGGCUGAUAAAAUAAGCUAACAGUUACAGGUGGCAUAUAUACCUUAUGCCGACACAUAUUGAUUAAUUUUUAACAGUAGAAAUAAAUAAACAUUUUAACA